This 8167-nucleotide long non-coding RNA is filed under the name Triticum aestivum (bread wheat). Its description in RNAcentral is "long non-coding RNA (TAES_LNC021519)". The record is from RNAcentral. Lineage: Eukaryota; Viridiplantae; Streptophyta; Magnoliopsida; Poales; Poaceae.
ACCUCGAGGACAUCAUGCGCUUGAGGGGAGUACUUGAAGAUGAUCUGGUCGUCGGCUUUGAAGUUCCUGAAGGACGCCCAUGUGCCGUAGUUGGUGCUGAGGUCCCACGCUCCGCCGGGCUCGCCAACGUUGUAGAUCGCCGCUGAUGCGGUGCUCAGGAUGGCCAUCACAGCCAUGGCGAGAAAAAUGGUUCGUGUGACAGCCAUUGAGGCUUGAACUGCAAGGAGAGCUUAGCAGAGGAGAUUACAAGGGAGGUGCUGAUGUUUUGGUCCUUGAGCGGAGAAUGUGUUUGCUUCCCUAGGUGGCGGUGUCCGGUCCUAUAUAUAGGACAAUCCUGGCCGGGUGGGACGGAGAAACAUGUGCGGUUGGUGGGACUUUGAAUAUUGUGUGUAGGUGGGAACACAAGCAGCUGGUACGUACUUGAUCAAAAUAGACUGAGUUUGUGAAGACCGGGCUGUGCUGUUAGCCUGCUGACCAUUUCACGCGUUCUUUUCCUUUUUCUUCAAUAUGGACGCGGUCUACAAGACAUGACGUAGACUAACACGAUCCACAUACCUUUUGACGUAGAUCCUAAAAUGUUGAUAAAUCAUUUUUUAUUACUGGAUUCGACAUAUUAAAGAGACCCUAAAAUGUUGUUGUUGGGAUUAUUUAAUUAUAUGCACUAAUUCAAUAUCAAGUACAAAUGGUACAUUUGGUCACUCUAUAAUGUUAACCUAUAUACCUAUAUAUUAAUAACAGAUUUUUUUUAGGGAAUAUAUAAAUAAGAGCUUUUUUUUACCACAUAGUAGAAAAUGGAGGUCCUACUGAUUUGGAGGCCCUGUGCAGCCGAACACUCUCCACAGGUGCGUGGUACGGGUUUGCCGUUGGAGGCCUGUUGCAUGCCUUGAUUAGGAUCGUGCCUUGAAUAGGUUACAUGGAGGAUAUAUAUAGAGGCCAAGAUCCAAGCGAAUUUCUACCAUUGCCGCCAAGAUAAACAUGGCCUUUCGUUUUAGAUAAAAUUUACUUGAUUGCAGGCUGGAAGCUCCAUUUUUACCAGUUUUAAAUUCCUCUUUGUAUGUGGUAUUAACGCUUUAAUUCUUUAUUUUGAUGCUCGUCUUUUAAGCAAUACAUAUCGCUUGCUUUCUAUGUUGAUAGUAUUGACUUGUUUUGUUGGAACAAUGUUGUAACUUUUUGUAACAUUGAAGCUGUAAUUUAAUUAGUUGUACCGUGCAACACAUGUAGUAGAAAGCUGGAAAUUAGACCGGAGAAAUCUAUCCAGCACUUGUAUCAAAAGUAGUCCUCGUUACCAUGAUAUAUCUAGGUUUUCCAUCAACAAUGACCGAAGGAGAGGAUCCCCAUGUGAAUGAAUUACUCAAAGCACCACAAAGUGAUGAAAUUUUAAUUACAAGUUUGCGUGUGAGGAGAGAUUCUAUUGUUCAUUGUUUUUGAGAUAGCUCACCAGUCAUGCCAAAUGGUAGGAGAGAUAGUCCCGCCAAGACAUAGUGGAUAUUUGUAAACUUUAAUUCAGUUUAAUAAUGCGUCGCACAAUAUUAUUUCACUCGAUGAUGUUAUUUUGCAAUCCAGGAUGAUGCACUAUGGCUCAAUUGCACGGUUCAGCAUGCCAGCUGAUAGCUCCAUUCUACCAAUUCUAAACGUGUUUUGUGUGUGUGUGUGUGUGUGCGUGUGUGUGUGUGUGUGUGUGUGUGUGUGUGCGUGUGUGCAAUUUAAAACGUGUUAACUUAACUGUAUAUUGUAUGAAAGCUUUACUUCUUGAUUUGAACAUUGGAAUUUUGUUCAUCGUUCUCCUUCUAAAUUGGAGGUUGUGACUUUUUUUGCCGUUGAAACUUGAAAGGUGUAAAAUAAAUCACUAGAGGUUGUAACAUAAUUAGUUCUAAAGUGAAAUUCAGGUAGUAAAGAUGAAAUAUUGAAUAAACGAAGUUAAAAGUUUUUCUUUUUUGAGAGAAGAGAAGUUCGAGUUGAAUGCUGAUCAACGAACCCUUGAUGUACGUGAUCAGGGACAUGGAUUGUGAUAGUCUACAUCGCGUAGACCGCGUCGAUACCGAAGAAAAGAAAAGCAACGAGUGAAGCAGUCAGUAGGCCCGGUCUUCAGAUCUUCUGUCGAUCUAUUAUCUAUUAUAUAUCUAUACGUGUUUCACUAUGAUGACCAAGUAGUAGCUGCAUGCUGCGUAGCUUGCUUGUGUUCCCACGUAACAUUCAAAGUCCAAAAUUCAGAUAGGUACUCUAUUAUAUGUACCCUAUAUAUGCUACGGCAUACGAUCAAUGCAAAUAUUCACAAUCCACAAGAACUAACCUGUGUCAAGAGAAAUGUUGUAUAAGACAAAAAGAUUCUGUAUUAAUAAAUCCUCCAAAAUGAAUCAGCAAUACACAAAGCCCGAAUACGUCCAACAUACACAUAACUACUUGACCAUACACACAGAUAGUUGCUAGUAAUAAUUACUUGAAUCUACAUAAAAUACACAUGUGCCUGCGUCUACAGAGAUGCACUCAAGCCACGAGGCCGACAACGGCCAGCAAAACGGCGAGGCCGAAACCCGCGGCCUCCACAUUGGUGGCAGCAGAGACAGGUGUCCGCGGGGGAGCGUUACUUGCACUUGGGCCGCUGGCCGGGGCGGGUGAUGUAGAGGAGGAGCCUGGCAUGACAUCAAUCUUAACCUUCAUGCCGCCAGCGCAAUGACCAGGGAAACCGCAGAUGAAGUAGCGGGUGCCGGUGGCGGUGAGAGUGACAACAUCAUUCCCAGAGUUGAAGGUGGUGACAGGGCUGGCGGUGCUACAGGAGUUCAUAGUCUGCCUUGCUGACCUCGAGGACGUCGUGUGCCUGAGGGGAGUACUUGAAGACGAUCUGGUCAUUGGUUUGGAAGUUCUUGGAGGACGCCCAUGUGCCGUAGUUGGUGCUGAGGUCCCAUGUGCCGCCCGGCUGCCCCACGUUGUAGAUUGCCGCAGAUGCCGUGCUCAGGACGGUCAUCGCGGCAACUGCAAGAAAAAUAGUUCUCGUGGCAGCCAUUGAGGUUUGAACUGCAAGGAGAGCUAGCAGAGGAGAUUAUAAUGCAGGUGCUGUUGUAUUGGUCCUUGAGCGGAGAUUGUGUUUGCUUCCCAUGGUGGUUGUGUCGGGUCCUAUAUAUAUACAGUACAGGGUAUGCCCUGGUGGGUUGAAGAAACGUGUACGGUAGGUGGAAGCCUGGACUAUUAUCGUACGUGCCUGGAUUUUGGACUUUGAAUGUUGUGUAGGUGGGAACACAAGCAAGCUGGUACAUACUUGGUCAUACUCAAACACGUAGGAGUCUAUGAUAAUCAUCGAUCGACUGAACAUCUGAAGACCGGGCUGUGUUGUUGGCCUGCUGACCUUUUCACGUGUUUCCUUUCCUUUUCCUCCAGUAUUGACGUGGUCUACAAGACAUGACAUAGACUGCCACAAACACAUACCUUCUGACGUAGAUCCAACUGCCCAGUUGCAUUUCAACUCUCUCUAAAAAAGCCUCUAACUUCCUCUGUUAAAAUUGUCAGCUUUCAACUACCUGAAUUCCAGCUGGAUCACAAAUUCACAACUAAUUAAAAUUGCAGCUUUUAAAUUUCAAGAAUCAAAAGUAACAACUCUCCUAAAAGCAAAAUAUAUUUAUGGCAAAAAAGUACUCCUAUGACAUUAAGCUCAAGAAGUAAUGCUUUAGUACCACAGAGUUAUAAAAUUUGAAAUUGGGAAAUUGGCAUUCAGCCCACGAACAUUCAGCGGAACAAAUGACUGACUUUGCAUCAUCCUAGAUUGUAAAAACAAGGUUUAGAUAAUGACUGAUAAUAUAUAUUUAAAUUGAAUUAAAGUUUUACUGGAAUAAAAGGCUAGAUAGUGCCGGUGACAGGGACUAGUUUUGAUGAAAACGAUAAACAAGUCUUGAAGAAUAGAUACAUAAUCAUUAUUGUUGGAUAGAUGUCUCUAAUCCAUUUGAAACUAUUUGUGGUGCAUGCGCUAAAAGUAUUAAUGUGAGGCGAGCCUUGAAACACCAUCUUUUUCAACUAGCCCUUGAUGCACAAUGUAAUUUGCUACUAGGCGAUUUGAGACUAUAACAUAGAGACAACACACAUGCAUGUCUAUGCUCAGUGCCUCUCGGGGUCGAGCGAUGGUCGUGCUUCCGUGUCGUAAUCCCUCUUGAGGACAUCGUGUUUGGACCUUGCAACGAUUGGAGGGACCAGAGGCAACGGUGCUAGGUCGCGGCCGCCUCGUCUUCUUCGUGCCAUCGGGCCUUUGGAGCGGGGUCUGCAGCGACUUGCGGCGGUGAGGUGGUGGCUGUCAGUGGUUGUUGUCGUGUGGCAAUACGGUAGCCUCCAGCCGGUCCGGCGACGGCGUUUUGGCCAUGUUCUUGCUCGCUGCAGUGUCGUCCGAUGGGGUGCGAUGGGGCGGCUACCCGCCUUUUUCGGUGGUGGCGGCCCCCGUGGUCAUGUGUAUGGCGUGGAGGCUAGGUCUUGUGGUGCUGACGGCUUCUAUGAGGAUGGCGGAGGUAUGGGACGCCCCCUCCACCAACAAAUCGGGUUUGAUGCGGCUCGGCGGGUGACACAUGUAUCUCUUCUGGAAGCGUCAUGGCAUGCCUGCCACCAACAGGUGCUAUGCAUGAUAUCUCAUGCGCAGACGUCAAGUCAUGCUUGCCGUCGGCAGAUGCUAUAUGGUGGGUUUGACAGAGUUGUCAUGCUUAGCUUGUUCCUAUUGUAUCGAAGGUGGUGCGACGGAGACCGGAGGCGAGGCAACAUGGGACGUCUUUGUCUUCCGGUUUCACCUACUGCAAUAUCUGGCUAGCGAGGUGUCGGUAGCGGACAAGUGUUGGUGGUAGAAGCAACUUUAGCGAUGAGCAUGUACACUCCGAUGGAAACACUAGAACUCUGAUCACGCUAUAUCGACGCGCGUUGCGUGGUACCAUUGCUGAAGGUGGCGGAUCGAAACUUGGCUUUGGAAAUGAAAUCCGAAGAUCGACCUUGGGUUGGACUUGUCAUUAUCGGCGCACGUGUGAAGAUUUCUUUCUUUUUAUUUUAUAAUAGGGUUAGUGCAUGUCUGGUGCAGUUACUAUUGCGAGGCAUGUGGCCUCGGAUAUUUUUAGUUUUCAUGUCAGUGUUGUUCUGCUGCUGAAUUUUUUAAUAAUAAGUAAUAUAUGGAUGCGUGCAUCACUUGAUGCAGAGGCCCGAGUUUAUCCUCCUUUUUAGAAAAUGUGUUGCCACUGUCAGGUUCAAAAAUAAAAGGCCAAAGCUAGAGUUUUUACCUUACGGCACCAUAACUAAUAACUGAGGUACAUAUGUCCUGGCUUUGACAAAUGCAGCAAAGACACGAUUGCCAAAGGAGCCCAACGCACCAAAGAGAAGCAUGGCUACAGUGUCGAUCUGGAAAAAAAAAAAAUGAGACCAGGUCUCACGGUUAGCAGGUGAGGCCCGUCCUGAUGGAUGACACGUGGCAUUCACAANNNNNNNNNNNNNNNNNNNNNNNNNNNNNNNNNNNNNNNNNNNNNNNNNNNNNNNNNNNNNNNNNNNNNNNNNNNNNNNNNNNNNNNNNNNNNNNNNNNNNNNNNNNNNNNNNNNNNNNNNNNNNNNNNNNNNNNNNNNNNNNNNNNNNNNNNNNNNNNNNNNNNNNNNNNNNNNNNNNNNNNNNNNNNNNNNNNNNNNNNNNNNNNNNNNNNNNNNNNNNNNNNNNNNNNNNNNNNNNNNNNNNNNNNNNNNNNNNNNNNNNNNNNNNNNNNNNNNNNNGGGGUGCGAUAGAUGCUUUGUGAUUUGUGAGGAGAGAUUAGAUACUUUAUGAUUUGUGAAUGCCACAUGUUAUCUAUCAGGAUGGGUCUCACCUGCUAACCCGUAAGACUUGGUCUUAUAGAAUUCUUUUCCGUGUCGAUCCCAUCCCAUCGAAAUGGCAUCAGAUUAUACAUAUUGUGUUGGGUCCUAUAUAUACAAACUCAUGGCCAGGUGGGUUGAAGAAACACGUGCGGUAGGUGAAAGCGUAGAAUAUAGAGUACGCGGGAACACGAGCUAGGCAUGCAGCUAGUAUGUACUUGGUCAUAUAAUCAAACACCUAGAUAGAUAGUAUAUAAUAAAUAAUAGACUGAAGAUGUUAAGACCGUUUCAAGCGUUCUCAUCGCAUAGCAGCCAUUGCCUGCUGCUUCAGUAUCUUUCUUUGAGAAACUACUGCAUAACUUGGUUCCACGGCCUUACCAUGCUGCUUCAGUAUCGACGCGGUCUAGGUUCCAAGGAGACAUAGUUGACUAUCAUAACUCACAAACCUUGUAGAAGGCAUUUAAACUCUCACUAUAGAAAAAAAAGUUCUCACUUCCUCUUAUUAAAACUGGAACGCUUGUUGUAUGAAUUCCAUGUCACUACUUUCAACUUAAGAGUUCCCACAAAAAAAGAACUUUCAACUUAAGAGGUAAAAGUCCAAUAUUAAAAUCAUGAAGUAAAGUUUUUAGACCGCGGAUUAAGCAGAGAAAUAAUGACCGACAUUGCAUCAUCCUGAAUUGCAAAAUAACAGCUUAAAAAAAGAGUGAACACAUAUUAUAUUAAAGUAAAUUUUAUGUAAUAAAAGGAUGGAUAUACAAUGGCGCCAAUGAGGACUACUUUUGAUUAUAGUGAUGAAAAUUUUCUUGAAAGUUAAGUACACCGGACACGCCCACCAACAUUGUAUAGACGUCCCUGGUCUAUUUGGACUAUUUGGGGUACAUGCUCAUAGCAUCUUUUUGCUAGGUAAGCCUUGAAAUUUCAGCAUUUUCUACUAACCCUCAUGCACUGUACAUUUUACUUCAAGGUGAAUUGAGGUUUAAAUGGUGAGAGCAGACGAUCUAUACACGUGCCUGCUGGUCCAUAUUAUCCAGUCGGUCGCGUUUUCAUGCAGAUCAGCGCCCAAAACAAAGUUAAAGCAGACAGGGAAAGGGAAAACAUUUUAAUAAAAUAAGCUGUUAUUCCCUCAAAAUAAAAUAGGCGGUUAGCUAGUAGGGACCAUCUUGAUGAAUGUUCUUUACCUAAUGCCGAAGGUACUUUUACAGUGGACGGGGCCUGGACAGGGGAAAUUUUGGUCCUUCACAGCGUCGAUAGCCAUCAAUCUCAGGGAAGAAUUCGUUCCCGAAAAGCACCCAUCACCGACUCCCAUGGCUCUCUCUCUCUCUCCCUCGAUAACGGCGACUGUCCCUUGCAACACCAGAAACAAGAACAUGUAUGGCACUCCACGAGCAAAUGACGGGAUUUUUGCCCAGCCGAAUUUGAUCCAGUAUGUUUGGGGUUGGGGGGCAUCCUAAUUGUUCUCCACCAUUUGUGGCAGCAGGUUCUUCAGGAUAGUUCAUUUACAAUCCGGGGCAAUACAAAUUACAUGUCUAAUCUAAGUAUAUAUUUCUGUAAUACAAGUUUAAGUUACGAAAUUGUUGGUUCUCAUGGUUUAGCAAGAAUGUGUGUCAAGUCAAAUAUUGUAUAAGACCAAACGAAUUUUUAUUAAUCUCCAAAACGAAUCAGCAAAACGCAAAACCUGAAUAUGUCCAACAUACACAUAACUACUUGACUAUACACACAUAUAGUUGCUAGUAAUAAUUACUUGACUAUACACAAAGUACACAUGUGCCUGCGACUGCAGAUAUGCACUCAAGCCAUGAGGCCAGCAAUGGCAAGCAAAACGGCGAGGCCAUACCCGAUGGCCUCCACAUUGGUGGCAGUGGAGACAGGGGUCGGCGGGGGAGCAUUGCUUGCACUUGGUCCGCUGGCUGGGGCGGGUGACGAGGAGGAGCCAGACAUAAUAUCGAUCUUAACCUUCAUGCCACCAGUGCAGUGGCCAGGGAAGCCGCAAAUGAAGUACCGGGUGCUGGAGGCGGUGAGGGUGACAACAUCAUUCCCAGAGUUGAGGGUGGUGAUGGGGCUGGCGGUGCUGCAGGAGUCGUAGUCAGCCUUGCUGACCUCGAGGACAUCAUGCGCUUGAGGGGAGUACUUGAAGACGAUCUGGUCGUCGGCUUUGAAGUUCCUGGAGGACGCCCAUGUGCCGUAGUUGGUGCUGAGGUCCCACGCUCCACCGGGCUCGCCAACGUUGUAGAUCGCCGCUGAUGCGGUGCUCAGGAUGGCCAUCACAGCCAUGGCGAGAAAAAUGGUUCGUGUGACAGCCAUUGAGGCUUGAACUGCAAGGAGAGCUUAGCAGAGGAGAUUACAAGGGAGGUGCUGAUGUAUUGGUCCUUGAGCGGAG